CAGUCGAACGAGAAUCUUUGGAAUGAUUCUUUCGGGAUGAAUUCCAAAGAGGAACGUGGCGGACGGGCGAGUAACGCGUGAGUAACCUGCCCAUAAGAGGGGGAUAAUCCAUGGAAACGUGGACUAAUACCGCAUAUUGUAGUUAAGUUGCAUGACUUGAUUAUGAAAGAUUUAUCGCUUAUGGAUGGACUCGCGUCAGAUUAGAUAGUUGGUGAGGUAACGGCUCACCAAGUCAACGAUCUGUAGCCGAACUGAGAGGUUGAUCGGCCGCAUUGGGACUGAGACACGGCCCAGACUCCUACGGGAGGCAGCAGUGGGGAAUAUUGCGCAAUGGGGGCAACCCUGACGCAGCAACGCCGCGUGCAGGAAGAAGGUCUUCGGAUUGUAAACUGUUGUCGCAAGGGAAGAAGACAGUGACGGUACCUUGUGAGAAAGUCACGGCUAACUACGUGCCAGCAGCCGCGGUAAUACGUAGGUGACAAGCGUUGUCCGGAUUUACUGGGUGUAAAGGGCGCGUAGGCGGACUGUCAAGUCAGUCGUGAAAUACCGGGGCUUAACCCCGGGGCUGCGAUUGAAACUGACAGCCUUGAGUAUCGGAGAGGAAAGCGGAAUUCCUAGUGUAGCGGUGAAAUGCGUAGAUAUUAGGAGGAACACCAGUGGCGAAGGCGGCCUACUGGGCUUUAACUGACGCUGAGGCACGAAAGUGUGGGUAGCAAACAGGAUUAGAUACCCU
Molecule: ribosomal RNA, 733 nt
Filed under: uncultured bacterium
Lineage: Bacteria
Description: bacterial SSU rRNA
Rfam family: Bacterial small subunit ribosomal RNA
Source: RNAcentral